AUCGCUUCUCGGCCUUUUGGCUAAGAUCAAGUGUAAAAAGGCAUCAUAUUUAUAUUGAAGAUUAAGACUGUUCAAACUGAUUUAAGGAAACUCUAUUUUUCAUAUUGAAAUCUGACAUAACAUCUUCUUAAUGGACUAGGUUGGAUCCCUUC
This 152-nucleotide small nuclear RNA is filed under the name Fukomys damarensis (Damara mole-rat). Its description in RNAcentral is "U2 spliceosomal RNA". It matches the Rfam family "U2 spliceosomal RNA". Rfam says of the family: U2 is a small nuclear RNA (snRNA) component of the spliceosome (involved in pre-mRNA splicing). Complementary binding between U2 snRNA (in an area lying towards the 5' end but 3' to hairpin I) and the branchpoint sequence (BPS) of the intron results the bulging out of an unpaired adenosine, on the BPS, which initiates a nucleophilic attack at the intronic 5' splice site, thus starting the first of two transesterification reactions that mediate splicing. Lineage: Eukaryota; Metazoa; Chordata; Mammalia; Rodentia; Bathyergidae. The record is from Rfam by way of RNAcentral.